This 89-nucleotide transfer RNA is filed under the name Dehalococcoidia bacterium. RNAcentral describes it as "tRNA-Ser". It matches the Rfam family "tRNA". From Rfam's summary of the family: Transfer RNA (tRNA) molecules are approximately 80 nucleotides in length. Their secondary structure includes four short double-helical elements and three loops (D, anti-codon, and T loops). Lineage: Bacteria; Bacillati; Chloroflexota; Dehalococcoidia. The record is from RNAcentral. RNAcentral also lists the same sequence under 1 other name.
GGAGGGGUGUCCGAGCGGUUUAUGGUGGCGGUCUUGAAAACCGCUGUCCCGGGUCACCGGGACCGUGGGUUCGAAUCCCACCCCCUCCG